GUGAGUCAUCGAAUCUUUGAACGCACAUUGCGCCCCCUGGUAUUCCGGGGGGCAUGCCUGUUCGAGCCUCCAUGAGACAUCUCCUUCAGUGCUGGCCUUCCGGCACAUGUGGGGGGUUUUGGUGGAUGCCGACGUCUUGAACGGCGUGGGCUCUGCCCAAAUCAACAGUCCGCGAGCCCGGAGCUCACCAGCCGACGUAGUGAGAUACUUUCUCGUCGGCUACGUGACACAUCAGUGGCAAUGGGACCUUAAGCGCGACAGCGCCAACCUUUUACACGGUUGAGCUCGGAUCAGGUAGGGAUACCCGCUGAACUUAAGCAUAUCAAUAAGCGGAGG
This 336-nucleotide ribosomal RNA is filed under the name uncultured fungus. RNAcentral's name for it is "eukaryotic LSU rRNA". The stretch from base 1 to 71 matches the Rfam family "5.8S ribosomal RNA", at positions 84 to 154 of the family's 154-position model. The record is from RNAcentral. Lineage: Eukaryota; Fungi.